Myxocyprinus asiaticus (Chinese sucker) is the source of this 988-nucleotide long non-coding RNA. RefSeq lists it as uncharacterized. The transcript has 5 exons. NCBI's taxonomy places the organism in Eukaryota, Metazoa, Chordata, Actinopteri, Cypriniformes, Catostomidae. The record is from RefSeq and is a predicted model, not a curated record.
AGAGGAAACACAUGGUUGUGCCAGCUGCUCAAGAUUGUAGGUCUGAAGCCUACACGCAAGGUAACCCUGCUUGGCCGUUUGGCCCAUGAGGUUGGCUGGAAGUACUUCAGAGCCCUCAGUCGCAUUACUGGAGGACCGUAAGAGGUAUGCUUUCUCAAGUCCAAGAAGGGACAGGCUGCUCUGGAGAGGCUGAAGGUGUCUGACUGCAUCCCCCUCCCCUCCUUAUGAAAAGAGGAAGCACCUGGUUGUGCCAGCUGCUCAAGAUUGUAGGUCUGAAGCCCACAAGUAAGCAAAUAGGAGUUUAAUGACCACGAGUUCACUUCUGCACUACCCGAUGAGGCAAAGCAGCAGCAGCUCUUAUCUUGCCUUACCUGUUCUAUAAAAUUCAGUACAAUGAAAAACCAACCAUAGUUCUCUAUAUUGGUAUUUGAGACUUUUACCAUAUUCUGCCCCAUUUGAACCUUUUUAUACUAAUGUUCUUGCCCUGUAGUUGGUCCUACUUGGCUGUUUGGCCCAUGAGGUUGGCUGGAUGUACCAGCCCAUCCCCAGCAUCCUGGAAUAGAAGGAAAAAGCCAAGAUGUGCUGUCAUACUUUUGUAAUGACAAAAGAUUGCUUUUUAUAUUGCAGUACCACAGUCCUUUUCCAUUAGCUGUACAAGUAUUUUAAAUGACAAUGAACAUGUAGGCACCACCAGGAAGUCGAGGUUACAACAGGAGAACAGUCAUUUGAGGGUAAAAUAACAAAUGUAAAUAUGACUAGGGCUGUUUGACAGAUCUAGACCUUAUUUCAUAAACUGUACCACACAGAUUUUCAAACUCUUGACUUGUAGAUGCAUUUUUAGUGAGCAGUAAAAUCUCAAACACUGAAAUCUGUGGUUUUUAUAUGGUACUUCUGUAGUGUUUUUGUUUUUCUGGUUAAACAUGUCUCAAACAUGAAGUGUUGUCUGAUCAAUAUUAAAUUUACAUUUGGGCCAACCAAAUCAUUCUGA